Molecule: ribosomal RNA, 198 nt
Filed under: uncultured bacterium
Lineage: Bacteria
Description: partial 16S ribosomal RNA
Rfam family: Bacterial small subunit ribosomal RNA
Source: RNAcentral
UCCUACGGGAGGCAGCAGUAGGGAAUCUUCCACAAUGGACGAAAGUCUGAUGGAGCAACGCCGCGUGAGUGAAGAAGGUUUUCGGAUCGUAAAACUCUGUUGUUGGAGAAGAAUGUAUCUGAUAGUAACUGAUCAGGUAGUGACGGUAUCCAACCAGAAAGCCACGGCUAACUACGUGCCAGCAGCCGCGGUAAUAAA